RNAcentral lists this ribosomal RNA (377 nucleotides) under uncultured eukaryote. Its description in RNAcentral is "partial 18S ribosomal RNA". It matches the Rfam family "Eukaryotic small subunit ribosomal RNA", at positions 592 to 976 of the family's 1831-position model. The record is from RNAcentral.
CAAUAGCGUAUAUUAAAGUUGUUGCAGUUAAAAAGCUCGUAGUUGGAUUUCAGGGUGGCCUGCCUGGUCCACCGCAAGGUGAGUACUGGUCAGCCGCCCUUCCUCUCGAAAGCCCCGACUGCUCUUCAUUGCAGUGGUCGGGUAGUUCGGGACGUUUACUUUGAAAAAAUUAGAGUGUUCAAGGCAGGCUAUCGCCUGAAUACAUUAGCAUGGAAUAAUGGAAGAGGACCUCGGUCCUAUUUUGUUGGUUUCUAGGGCCGAAGUAAUGAUUAAGAGGGACAGUUGGGGGCAUUCGUAUUUAAUUGUCAGAGGUGAAAUUCUUGGAUUUAUGAAAGACGAACUAGUGCGAAAGCAUUUGCCAAGGAUGUUUUCAUUAA